Solanum dulcamara is the source of this 973-nucleotide long non-coding RNA. RefSeq lists it as uncharacterized. The transcript has 2 exons. The record is from RefSeq and is a predicted model, not a curated record. NCBI's taxonomy places the organism in Eukaryota, Viridiplantae, Streptophyta, Magnoliopsida, Solanales, Solanaceae.
AAACUCACUUGUGAGAUUACAGUAGAUAUAUUAUUAUUAUUUUUAUAUUUUAAUCUCCCAAAACAUGUGAAUCAAAGAGUAGUAAAAAGAAGAAGUAUCAUAACAUUUUCAGAAAUAUCAUAACAUUUUCAGAAAUAUCAUAACAUAGUACAACUAGAAUAUCUAGAAUUACUUGGACUGAUUUGUGAGUUGAAAUUAUGGAAUAUGAUCAACACAGUACCAUAUGCCGAGAGGAGUGUGAUGAAGAUAAAAGAAAGUUGAAGGAAAAAACGUAAAGAUUCAUGAUCUGGAAAAAUUACUAGAAAAAACAAAUGAAGAAUAUAUCAAGUUUAAUAAUAAUCAAAAUGCCGACGAGGAAGAAAUCCAUUAUAAAGUUACUCGUCUAAAUAAGCUGAAGGUGUCAGUAGUGGAAGACAUCACCACAAUUAUCUUGAUACAGGAGAAGUUCCCAACGAUGUACCUAUUUGUAACCCUUGACACAUCUUUUAAGAAAUGCAAUAUUGACUUACUUGAUAAACUAGCUAUAUAGCUAUUAAACAUGGAACCUGGUAAUUUAAGGUCACUACAGCUUAUCAGUUACAAGAUGGAGACUUUUUCAUGGUUGAUGAAACCACUGCUAAGAAGGUAGGAUUCACGGUUAAGGUAAUGAGAACCAAAGACUUAACUUCCAUACUUUGGAUUAUGAAAAUGAAGCUGGAUAUCCAAAUCGGUCAAAUAUUUGGGUGGCUUAGAGAAAAUUGUCAAAUCUAUGGAGAUGAAGGAACUGAGAAAGAAAACAACAUAUGUAGCAAAACAUGAGGUUAUUGUGCGAAAAAGAGAUGGGGUUGUUGUGUGAAACAGAGAAGACAAAAUGAUGGAUGAGGAUUGCUUUUUGAAUUUAUGUUUAAAUACUUUGUCUGGUUUUUUUUCCUUAGAUAGUGUAUUAAAUUGUGUAGAUACCCAUCUGAAUAACCCCUCCUGUCCCCAAAAUGCU